GGGGCAGACAUGGCUUUGACAGCAUGUAGAGUUGGUAUGUAAGCAUGUCGGGAGUAGUGAAGCCGUCCCGUAAAUCUCGGACACAAAAUUUUAGUUGGCGAAGAAAAUUACGCUCUUGCUGCCUAAUCGAAGUAUAGUAGAUGUGGCUUAAUCGCUGCUCAAGGAGUGGCGACGAGACAUCCCGUCGGUGGUUAUGCCUUAUUCCUAAUCGGCAAUCGGGGUGCAGUCAAUAUAAGGUUAGUCUCACACAGCUUCGGGUGUGGGAUGAAAAUUUAGAAGCUAAGGUGCGAUUUGGAUGCUUUUUUCCUGAACGUACACGAAAAUCAACAAAAAGCUAAGCAUGUAGAAAGCAUAUUGGUUCCAUGUUUGGACCAGGGUUCAAUCCCCUGCUGCUCCACAA
This 400-nucleotide transfer-messenger RNA is filed under the name Culturomica sp. It matches the Rfam family "transfer-messenger RNA". From Rfam's summary of the family: Bacterial tmRNA, also known as 10Sa RNA or SsrA, is named for its dual tRNA and mRNA-like properties. Its role is to liberate the mRNA from a stalled ribosome. The record is from RNAcentral. Lineage: Bacteria; Pseudomonadati; Bacteroidota; Bacteroidia; Bacteroidales; Odoribacteraceae.